CCCUUAGAUGUUCUGGGCCGCACGCGCGCUACACUGAUGGAUUCAACGAGUAUUACAUCGUCAUUGACGUUGUUGUCCUUGGUCGGAAGGCCUGGGUAAUCUUGUAAAUGUCCAUCGUGAUGGGGCUAGAUUUUUGCAAUUUUGAAUCUCCAACGAGGAAUUCCUAGUAAACGCAAGUCAUCAGCUUGCAUUGAUUACGUCCCUGCCCUUUGUACACACCGCCCGUCGCACCUACCGAUUGAAUGGUCCGGUGAAAUCUCGGGACGGCGGCUUGGUCGCUUGCGUCCGACUGCUGAAACUUGAUUAAACCAUAUCAUUUAGAGGAAGGUGAAGUCGUAACA
RNAcentral lists this ribosomal RNA (341 nucleotides) under uncultured eukaryote. Its description in RNAcentral is "partial 18S ribosomal RNA". It matches the Rfam family "Eukaryotic small subunit ribosomal RNA", at positions 1470 to 1796 of the family's 1831-position model. The record is from RNAcentral.